Paramisgurnus dabryanus is the source of this 1426-nucleotide long non-coding RNA. RefSeq lists it as uncharacterized. The record is from RefSeq and is a predicted model, not a curated record. Lineage: Eukaryota; Metazoa; Chordata; Actinopteri; Cypriniformes; Cobitidae.
UAACCAUGUUGUCUUGCUUUAUUGAUUGGCAAAACAUGGUUUUACUACAGUAAACGUUUGUUUUGGACUGCAUAACUCCUUUAAUAUAACCAUAAAUAAUGUCAAUAAAAAGGUCUGUUCAUUCAAUAAACCGGGAAAAAUCUGUAUGAACGUAUACGUAGAAAUAAUAUUGAGGACACACUGCACGAUAAUGAAACCUUUAGUUUGAUUAAAAGUCGAUUAAUAUUUCUGUUUUUAUUAAAUAAAUAUUCUAUGUUGGCUCUAAACAGGCAACUUUCUUUCUUGGAAGCAGCACUGGAAGAAGCACUUUACUUUCAUCUUUUAUAUCUUUAUUUACUUUUAUUAUGUUAUUAUUGGCGGAGGCGCGUAAGGCGCGUGUCCGUAUACCGAAUGCUUUGAUCACGUGAUUAUUCAAACCAGGAGACGCGCAAUCUGGAUUAACCGCUGUUCUCCUCAGACGAGUGUUUUGGUGGUAUUAUGAGGUAAGUUUCUUUACAUUCGUGGUUACUUUACUGAAAUUAGUUCACAGUGAUGUUUAUUCAGUUGUCAGUAUAUUUCGAUAUGUCUAAUAUAAUAACCCUUGAUGUUGACCGUUGGUUCGUUUCGUUCGAGCGCUGAGUGGGGUGAGCUGAGCUCGGCGCAGCUGUGAGCUAAUGGAGAUCUUUUAUUUGUCUUUAUAUCUUCUAUAAAAAUGUGUUAUGCAUGUUCUUAAAAGUAUUUAACAUAGUUAAGUUAAUUAUAACGCAAGUUUUCUCCAAGUAUUGCAAUGUGGGCUUAGUUCAGCUCCCGCCUAGAUUGACUGAGCUCGUGAGCUUACGUUAGUGGAGAUCUUUUAACUUAUUUGUUUUUUUUAUAUCUUUUAUAAAAAUGUGUUGUGCUUGUUGUUAAAUGUAUUUGACAUUGUUUAGUUAAUUAUAACGCAGGUUAACUACAAGUAUUGCAAUAUGGGAUUUGUUCAACAGGUCCCUCUUAUGAAAAACAACGUUAUCGUUUUACAGUAAACUUAAAUGAGCUAAAGGCCAUUCUGAAUUAAUACCUGUCGUAUAUUUAUGGUUACUUCUUUCAGAUCCCUUUCUUGGUGUGUCUUGAUUUUUCAUAUUGGCUAAAGACAAGAUAUGUCUGCAAAUGCUGGUUCCAUGUCACAUGGCUUAUUCGAGACUAGAUCUACAAAAAACACUGCAGAUUUUGUUACCAUCAACUUGCAUUAUACAACUGACAGACUGAAACGGUUGGACUCAAAAAUCUACAUUUGUGUUCCACUGGAGAAACAAAGUCACCUACAUCUUGGAUGGCCUGGGGACUACCUGACCUGUUCCUGUUAAGAGCUAUCUUUGUGGAAUGUUCCUGGCCCAUUUUUCCCAAGUUUUUACAAAAGUUUUUUCAAUGACCUCAAAAUUGAUGUGUAAAAAUUAUAAUAAACUUGAAU